CCUGUGCCGAAAGAACAGCCUGGAUCUCUCCAUUCGCCUCACCAAGUCCGACGUGCCAGGUUCCUGUUGAUGUGACUUGCCCUCCGCUGGUUCCUACCAGACCCCUUCAGGCCAGGUGAUGACCUAGAACUUUUGCAUCCUCAGCCUAACCCCAACGCAGUCCGUAUUCAUGACCCCAAGUCGCACCCACAAAUAGAUUGCUCAGAGCAGCAAUAGUGGCGAUGGUCAGGGAAGUUCUGAUGCCAGAUCCAACCUGGGACGCUUCGCCAACGACACUGUGGCCCAGAGGCCAACACGGGCUCGAUCCGUUCCAGGACUCAGGCAUCCGAUGAGGAUCAUGCAUCCAGGUAGCCUUGGGCCAGAGGACAACAGGUGAGCAGCAUCACCUGCACAUGGUGAAGAGAUGCUUAGAAGCAGGACGGGAGCCAAGUGGUGCCAAGUGCACUGUGACCCUCCCUCUGUCAACAAGAUCUGUCAGGUUUGAAAAUGAAAGUAAUUUGCAGGGAGUCGUCUCUGGACGGCUGUGCAGCUAAAACCCGAUCCCAUCCAACUGGGGAGUGACAUUAGCUGAGGCGGAGACGUCUUCUGAGAUCCUGCUCUUCUCUCCAUGGCCCUCUGGGUCUGAAAGUGGUGGCCGUGCGGUUCGCCCCGAUUGUGUGAAGAGUCACCGCCUUCGUCUCGCCACCCGUGUUCUCCAGCUGUUAACAACCACCCCUGAUGAGACUGCAGGUUGUUCCAGGCAGGGGGGAUGAGCCGAGGGGAAGGGACAUGAAUCCACAGGGGAGCGAGGUCGCCCCAGACGCUGCGCGCACACGGCGUGGAAUGAGGUCCCCGUGGGCUGCGUUCUGUGGGAUUCGACGGUGGCGCUGCCGGCACAGGCGGAUUCUGUUUGGACAUGCAGAGCCGGUGACUCAGGAGCCGAUCUGCCCGGCGAGGCUGUUUCCACGCCGCCUGGGCCCCGGCUCCAGCCCCUGACUGCAGGGACCAGGUCAGCCGAAGGCCACGAAGGAAACUCUGGGGAACCAAGAGGAGGAAGGGAGCCGGCCGCAGGGAGGGGAGAAAAGACGCGUUUGUGGGACGACAUCCUGGCCGUCCCCCCAGGACUCUCCUCGAGGGGGAGAAAUCACGCCAAGCAGCCCGGACAGUGCACUGCGGGCGUCCUUUAG
Molecule: long non-coding RNA, 1166 nt
Organism: Talpa occidentalis (Iberian mole)
Lineage: Eukaryota; Metazoa; Chordata; Mammalia; Eulipotyphla; Talpidae
Exons: 7
Source: RefSeq, a predicted model, not a curated record